RNAcentral lists this ribosomal RNA (1013 nucleotides) under uncultured bacterium. RNAcentral describes it as "bacterial SSU rRNA". It matches the Rfam family "Bacterial small subunit ribosomal RNA", at positions 10 to 1033 of the family's 1533-position model. The record is from RNAcentral.
AGUUUGAUCCUGGCUCAGGACGAACGCUGGCGGCAUGCCUAAUACAUGCAAGUCGAACGCGGCCAUCCGGUGCUUGCACUGGUGAACCCGAGUGGCGAACGGGUGAGUAACACGUGAGAAACCUGCCCUGGAGUGGGGAAUAACUCGAAGAAAUUCGAGCUAAUACCGCAUACCUUCUCUUCACCGCAUGGUGAGUUGAAGAAAGAUUUAUCGCUCUAGGAGGGUCUCGCGGCCUAUCAGCUAGUUGGUGAGGUAAUGGCUCACCAAGGCAUCGACGGGUAGCUGGUCUGAGAGGACGAUCAGCCACACUGGGACUGAGACACGGCCCAGACUCCUACGGGAGGCAGCAGUAGGGAAUCUUGCGCAAUGGGCGAAAGCCUGACGCAGCAAUGCCGCGUGCGGGACGAAGGCCCUAGGGUCGUAAACCGCUUUCAGUAGGGACGAAAAUGACGGUACCUGCAGAAGAAGCUCCGGCCAACUACGUGCCAGCAGCCGCGGUGAUACGUAGGGAGCAAGCGUUGUCCGGAAUUACUGGGCGUAAAGGGCUCGUAGGUGGUUGAGUAAGUCAGAUGUGAAAUCUCAGGGCCCAACCCUGAGCGUGCAUUUGAUACUGCUCUGACUAGAGUCCGGUAGGGGAGUGCGGAAUUCCUGGUGUAGCGGUGAAAUGCGCAGAUAUCAGGAGGAACACCGACAGCGAAGGCAGCACUCUGGGCCGGUACUGACACUGAGGAGCGAAAGCAUGGGUAGCAAACAGGAUUAGAUACCCUGGUAGUCCAUGCCGUAAACGUUGGGCACUAGGUGUGGGGAGAACUCAACUCUCUCCGCGCCGUAGCUAACGCAUUAAGUGCCCCGCCUGGGGAGUACGGCCGCAAGGCUAAAACUCAAAGGAAUUGACGGGGGCCCGCACAAGCGGCGGAGCAUGUUGCUUAAUUCGAGGCAACGCGAAGAACCUUACCUGGGUUGAACUACGUGGGAAAAGCCGCAGAGAUGCGGUGUCCUUCGGGGUCCACGAU